This 335-nucleotide ribosomal RNA is filed under the name uncultured bacterium. Its description in RNAcentral is "bacterial SSU rRNA". It matches the Rfam family "Bacterial small subunit ribosomal RNA", at positions 1 to 334 of the family's 1533-position model. The record is from RNAcentral.
CUAGCGUACUUCAGAGUUUGAUCCUGGCUCAGGACGAACGCUGGCGGCGUGCUUCAUACAUGCAAGUCGAACGAGAAUCUAGCUUCGGUUAGAGGAAAGUGGCGGACGGGUGAGUAAUAUGUAGGGAAUCUGCCCUUAAGCGGGGGGACAACAGAGGGAAACUUCUGCUAAUACCCCAUAUGAGCGUAGCUGAGAUGCUAUUCUUGAAAACUCCGGUGCUUAAGGAUGAGCCUGCAUCUGAUUAGCUAGUUGGGGGUGUAAUGGACCACCAAGGCGACGAUCAGUAGCUGGUUUGAGAGGAUGAUCAGCCACAAUGGGACUGAGACACGGCCCAU